GAAAUGCGAUAAGUAAUGUGAAUUGCAGAAUUCAGUGAAUCAUCGAAUCUUUGAACGCACAUUGCGCCCGCCAGUAUUCUGGCGGGCAUGCCUGUCCGAGCGUCAUUUCAACCAUCAAGCCCCCGGGCUUGUGUUGGGGACCUGCGGCUGCCCGCAGGCCCUGAAAACCAGUGGCGGGCUCGCUGUCACACCGAGCGUAGUAGAAAUCACCUCGCUCAGGGCGUGCUGCGGGUUCCGGCCGUUAAACAGCCUUACAAAACCCAAGGUUGACCUCGGAUCAGGUAGGAAGACCCGCUGAACUUAAGC
This 306-nucleotide unclassified non-coding RNA is filed under the name plant metagenome. Its description in RNAcentral is "partial contains 5.8S ribosomal RNA, internal transcribed spacer 2, and large subunit ribosomal RNA". The stretch from base 1 to 105 matches the Rfam family "5.8S ribosomal RNA", at positions 50 to 154 of the family's 154-position model. The record is from RNAcentral.